UAAUCCCUGCAUAGUGCGUGUAGACUGAAAUUUUAGAACCAACGCGGAUUAAACGGGAAUCUGCCUUUGGAUGUGGCGUGCAAGCUUAACUCGUAUUAAGAAGCCCAGAAGCAUUCAACAAGAUACCCACCUGUGAAAGCAGGUCCUUAAAAUUUCACUAAUCCUUACGGCUAAAGCGGGGCUCUU
This 186-nucleotide non-coding RNA is filed under the name Clostridia bacterium. RNAcentral describes it as "6S RNA". It matches the Rfam family "6S / SsrS RNA". Rfam says of the family: E. coli 6S RNA was the first non coding RNA to be sequenced, but its function was unknown until recently. It consists of 184 nucleotides that fold into an extended hairpin structure with a large single-stranded internal bulge. Lineage: Bacteria; Bacillati; Bacillota; Clostridia. The record is from RNAcentral.